AGAGGGAGAUAGGAAUACUAGAUUCUGUCAUGACAGUCAUCAUGAGUCAGACAAAUAGGAUCAGAAUGCUACAAGACAUAGCGAGGACUUGGAUGGAGGGCGAGGAGGAGACCUGACAAGAGAUGCUCCACUUUUUCAAAGGAGAUGGACUGAUAGGCUGGGUGGAGGUGAGUUCUCUACCAUCCCUCUUUCGACUGACUUGGCCUCGACCCAAG
This 215-nucleotide long non-coding RNA is filed under the name Elaeis guineensis (African oil palm). Its description in RNAcentral is "long non-coding RNA (EGUI_LNC029557)". Lineage: Eukaryota; Viridiplantae; Streptophyta; Magnoliopsida; Arecales; Arecaceae. The record is from RNAcentral.